RNAcentral lists this transfer RNA (118 nucleotides) under Phycisphaerales bacterium. RNAcentral's name for it is "tRNA-Thr". The record is from RNAcentral. Lineage: Bacteria; Pseudomonadati; Planctomycetota; Phycisphaerae; Phycisphaerales.
GCCACGGUGACUUUAAUUCCUAAAUUAGCUGAAACAAGGUUCGUAACCUAUUGUCCUACAACGACUUGUGUGCGGUUUUGUAAACCGCAGGUCGACGGUUCGAGUCCGUCCGGUGGCU